AUUGAACGCUGGCGGAACGCUUUACACAUGCAAGUCGAACGGCAGCACGGACUUCGGUCUGGUGGCGAGUGGCGAACGGGUGAGUAAUGUAUCGGAACGUGCCCAGUCGUGGGGGAUAACGUAGUGAAAAUUACGCUAAUACCGCAUACGAUCUAUGGAUGAAAGCGGGGGAUCGCAAGACCUCGCGCGAUUGGAGCGGCCGAUAUCAGAUUAGGUAGUUGGUGGGGUAAAGGCCCACCAAGCCAACGAUCUGUAGAUGGACGGAGAGGACGACCAGCCACACUGGAACUGGGACACGGUCCAGACUCCUACGGGAGGCAGCAGUGGGGAAUUUUGGACAAUGGGCGAAAGCCUGAUUCAGCCAUUCUGCGUGCAGGAUGAAGGCCCUCGGGUUGUAAACUGCUUUUGUACAGAACGAAAAGGUUUCUACUAAUACUAGGAGCUCAUGACGGUACUGUAAGGAUAAGCACCGGCUAACUACGUGCCAGCAGCCGCCGUAA
This 500-nucleotide ribosomal RNA is filed under the name uncultured bacterium. RNAcentral's name for it is "partial 16S ribosomal RNA". It matches the Rfam family "Bacterial small subunit ribosomal RNA", at positions 30 to 523 of the family's 1533-position model. The record is from RNAcentral.